Molecule: microRNA, 21 nt
Filed under: Macaca mulatta (Rhesus monkey)
Lineage: Eukaryota; Metazoa; Chordata; Mammalia; Primates; Cercopithecidae
Description: mml-miR-7202-5p
Source: miRBase by way of RNAcentral
UUGGGUGACAUUUGUAGAUGU